This 281-nucleotide long non-coding RNA is filed under the name Aotus nancymaae (Ma's night monkey). RNAcentral describes it as "lncRNA (ENSANAG00000039325.1)". Lineage: Eukaryota; Metazoa; Chordata; Mammalia; Primates; Aotidae. The record is from RNAcentral.
AAGUAGGUAGAUGGGUAGAUGGGUGGGUAGAUGUGUAGAUGGGUAGGUAGAUAGUAGAUGGGUAGGUAGAUGUGUAGAUGGGUAGGUAGAUGUGUAGAUGGUAGAUGGGUAGGUGGAUGGGUAGGUGGGUCAGUAGUUGAAUGUACAUGUUUAGUUAAUCACUGGAGACUUCCUAAUGUGCUUGUUGUAUUGAAAACUUCUUGAUAACUAGAGUUGCAUUUCAGCUACAUCCAUAUUAAAGUAUCCAUAUUAUGAAUAUUUUAAUAACAAUCCCAUUAAUU